GCGGCGGACGGGUGAGUAACACGUGGGCAACCUACCUGUAAGACUGGGAUAACUUACGGAAACGUGAGCUAAUACCGGAUAGUUUCACUUCUCGCAUGAGAAGUGAAGGAAAGAUGGCUUUUAGCUAUCACUUACAGAUGGGCCCGCGGCGCAUUAGCUAGUUGGUGGGGUAAAGGCCUACCAAGGCGACGAUGCGUAGCCGACCUGAGAGGGUGAUCGGCCACACUGGGACUGAGACACGGCCCAG
Molecule: ribosomal RNA, 247 nt
Filed under: uncultured bacterium
Lineage: Bacteria
Description: partial 16S ribosomal RNA
Rfam family: Bacterial small subunit ribosomal RNA
Source: RNAcentral